This 392-nucleotide long non-coding RNA is filed under the name Rattus norvegicus (Norway rat). Its description in RNAcentral is "long non-coding RNA NONRATT028402". The record is from RNAcentral. Lineage: Eukaryota; Metazoa; Chordata; Mammalia; Rodentia; Muridae.
GCAGAACAGGAGUAGCCAGUUCUGACCACUGCCUGCCUCUCUCACACAGACGCGUCGGAAUGCCAAGUGGCUGACAGUGGAGAUGAUGCAGGAUGGCCACCAGGUGUCCCUGCUAAGUGGAGAACUCACGGUGGAGCAGCGGGCUUCCAUCAUUCAGAGGUUCCGAGAUGGCAAAGAGAAGGUUCUCAUAACAACCAAUGUCUGUGCUCGAGGAAUCGAUGUGAAGCAGGUCACCAUCGUUGUGAACUUUGACCUCCCUGUAAACCAGUCAGAAGAGCCAGACUAUGAGACCUACCUCCACCGUAUAGGGCGGACGGGACGCUUUGGGAAAAAAGGUCUCGCCUUCAACAUGAUUGAAGUGGAUAAGCUGCCCCUGCUCAUGAAAAUACAAG